GACGAACGCUGGCGGCGUGCUUAACACAUGCAAGUCGAACGGAAAGGCCCUGCUUUUGUGGGGUGCUCGAGUGGCGAACGGGUGAGUAACACGUGAGUAACCUGCCCUUGACUUUGGGAUAACUUCAGGAAACUGGGGCUAAUACCGGAUAGGAGCUCCUGCUGCAUGGUGGGGGUUGGAAAGUUUCGGCGGUUGGGGAUGGACUCGCGGCUUAUCAGCUUGUUGGUGGGGUAGUGGCUUACCAAGGCUUUGACGGGUAGCCGGCCUGAGAGGGUGACCGGCCACAUUGGGACUGAGAUACGGCCCAGACUCCUACGGGAGGCAGCAGUGGGGAAUAUUGCACAAUGGGCGGAAGCCUGAUGCAGCAACGCCGCGUGCGGGAUGACGGCCUUCGGGUUGUAAACCGCUUUCGCCUGUGACGAAGCGUGAGUGACGGUAAUGGGUAAAGAAGCACCGGCUAACUACGUGCCAGCAGCCGCGGUGAUACGUAGGGUGCGAGCGUUGUCCGGAUUUAUUGGGCGUAAAGGGCUCGUAGGUGGUUGAUCGCGUCGGAAGUGUAAUCUUGGGACUUAACCCUGAGCGUGCUUUCGAUACGGGUUGACUUGAGGAAGGUAGGGGAGAAUGGAAUUCCUGGUGGAGCGGUGGAAUGCGCAGAUAUCAGGAGGAACACCAGUGGCGAAGGCGGUUCUCUGGGCCUUUCCUGACGCUGAGGAGCGAAAGCGUGGGGAGCGAACAGGCUUAGAUACCCUGGUAGUCCACGCUGUAAACGGUGGGUACUAGGUGUGGGGUCCAUUCCACGGGUUCCGUGCCGUAGCUAACGCUUUAAGUACCCCGCCUGGGGAGUACGGCCGCAAGGCUAAAACUCAAAGGAAUUGACGGGGCCCCGCACAAGCGGCGGAGCAUGCGGAUUAAUUCGAUGCAACGCGUAGAACCUUACCUGGGUUUGACAUGGAUCGGGAGUGCUCAGAGAUGGGUGUGCCUCUUUUGGGGUCGGUUCACAGGUGGUGCAUGGCUGUCGUCAGCUCGUGUCGUGAGAUGUUGGGUUAAGUCCCGCAACGAGCGCAACCCUUGUUCACUGUUGCCAGCACGUUAUGGUGGGGACUCAGUGGAGACCGCCGGGGUCAACUCGGAGGAAGGUGGGGAUGACGUCAAGUCAUCAUGCCCCUUAUGUCCAGGGCUUCACGCAUGCUACAAUGGCUGGUACAGAGAGUGGCGAGCCUGUGAGGGUGAGCGAAUCUCGGAAAGCCGGUCUCAGUUCGGAUUGGGUCUGCAACUCGACCUCACGAAGUCGGAGUCGCUAGUAAUCGCAGAUCAGCAACGCUGCGGUGAAUACGUUCCCGGG
This 1342-nucleotide ribosomal RNA is filed under the name uncultured bacterium. RNAcentral describes it as "16S ribosomal RNA". It matches the Rfam family "Bacterial small subunit ribosomal RNA", at positions 28 to 1378 of the family's 1533-position model. The record is from RNAcentral.